Molecule: long non-coding RNA, 2304 nt
Filed under: Helianthus annuus (common sunflower)
Lineage: Eukaryota; Viridiplantae; Streptophyta; Magnoliopsida; Asterales; Asteraceae
Description: hypothetical non coding rna
Source: RNAcentral
UGAACAUUGUUUCAUAUAAAAGACAUCCUCUUUUUCCCCUAAAACCAGUUCCCUCAAUCUUCCCUAAAACCCUCCAGCAGAACCCACUUCCCUCCAGAGAAAUCAAGUUUUUUCCGGCGAUUUUGGGCAAGAAACCACCGUCGUGACCGGCCGCUGUUCGAAGGUUCAUUGUUUCACUUCUUCAAGCUGAUUUCAGGUUUGCUCUGUUUCUCCAAUUUAAUCUUUUCUUCAUUUACACCAUGCUUGGAUUUGAUUGUAAAGUAGACACGAAGCUUCCUUCUAGAUGUAUAUGUGAUUUAUAGUCCUUGUUUGUUUAUUAGUAGAAUUUUAGAUAGGGUUUUUUCAUCUAUGCCCUAGGUGAGUUUUUGGGGUCAUUGUGUGAUGAACACUAUCAAUCAGAUAUUGUAGGCGAUUGACUAAUGAAUAGACCUGGAAAACGGGUCGGGUCGGGUCAUGGGUCAAACGGGUCCAGCGGGUUUAGCCUUGAGUAAACCCAUAAAUAAAUUUGAAGUGAACAUAUGUAACAUUGUAAGUCCGUGUUCCAUCGGGUUUAGCCGUUGAGUUUAGUAUUAGAAUUAUAAGAUCGUGAGUUCAAGUCUGGUUCAUGUCUUUUUUUUUGUUAAUAGUUCAACUCCAUUGUGAUUUAUGAAUAAAAGUGUUCUAACAUUAAAUUUUGAUUUGGGAAUAAAAGUGUUUGUUAAAUAAACCCAGUUUCAGUGCAUUAGGAACAAGAGUCCAACUAUUGAAUUGGAUUAUUAAUAUAUCAAAACUACUUAAUGAAAAUUAGUUUCACAAGAUUUAAUGUUGAUGUCAAGUUUGGAAUGUCAGUCAAGUCCUUUGAGAAACUGAGUUUUUUUUUUUGUUUGUUUGAAAGUUUAACUUCAUUUUGAGAAACUGAGGUUAAUAGACCUCUAAUUAGGCAGCUUGUGUUCUUGGUUUAAAAAAGUGCGCCUUAAGCGCGCUUAAAAGCAAAGCGACUCUAGGCCCAAAGAGUUGCGCCUUGUGUGACAUAAAGCGAGCUAUGUACAAAAAGCGCACAAAAAGCGAGCUUUUUUGGAAAAAAAAAAUCCCACUGAGGCGCGCGCUUUUUGUACAAAAGGUGUUUUUGUGAUUUAAAGUGUUAUACAUGCAGCUAAAAUGGUUGUACAUUAUAUGAUUUAGACAUUAAAUCAUAUGUAAACCUUAUUUGUCACUAUAUUUUGGGCAAGGGAUGCUAAAAGACUAUAGGAUAUAUAUAAAAAAUAUAUAAGCACCUUGUGCCUCACGUACGAAAAGCUGACCGCUUUUGCGAUUUACGCUUCACGCUUUAAUUUUAGAACUUGUCGCUUUUGUGCGCUUCACGCUUUUUUAAACCAAGCUUGUGUUGUAGUUGAGGUCCUUGCAAAUCAUGACUAAAAAUCUAUUAAUGUGGUAUACAGACAAUUAUUACCAAGUCGUUAGUCCAAAAUGAUUUAAGUUGGCUAGAACCUAUUUCAAGUUUAUAAAAGUGUUUUAGUUUGAACAUUGAAGGCACUUGUUACUAGGAUUUUGGUGCCAGAUCCAAACCAUUCACUUCCACUAGCUAAAUAGGUCAAGUGGUCAACAUGAUUUACAUAAUCCAAAACGAUUAUAACCUUUAAACCACAUAGCUUUGUCCCCCAACAAAAUUUGCCCAUGUUUAACACUUUGAACAUGAACGAUUUUCUCCUUUAAAAUGUCAUUAAGAAGUUUCUGUUGUAAUAUGCGUAAAUUAGUGAGUUCGCUAUGAUGGUACAAGUUUUUAUGGCCGCUUAAUCGCUUAAUCGACUUAUAAACACAUUAAACUGCAAGACUGAUUAGUGAGUUCGCUAUGAUGGCACGAGUUUUUAUGGCCGCUAUGACUUUUAUGGCCGCUUAAUCGUUUGCCGGCUGCAAAUAUGCUGCAGACCGGCUGCGAACAUGCUGCAGUCUGGCUGCAAAUACUCUGCAGACCCAUAAAAAGGUACUGCUAGUAAUCUUUUAACAAAAAAGAUAUGAACGAUCAAACGAAUUAACAAACGGUCUGCAUGCGAAACUUACCUGAUAAUUGAAGUGCUGCUAGUAUGUUUUUAAAUGUCGAUGCUGAUUGCUUAAUGCCUGAGCCUGAAUGUUUUUGGACGGCUGAAUGCUUAAUUAAUAUCGAUCACCUUAAAGUUUUUAUUUAUCAUGGAUUUUUUGCAUUAUCUCUUUAAGUUACAAUAUAAUCUUUAUUUUUAUCAAUGAUUUUGCAUUAUUUCUUGAAGAAUUGCAUUUAGUUAUGAUGAUAUGUUAGCAACAAAUCGCACAUUUGAAUCGGUUCCAAAUUGA